GUGUCAGCAGCCGCGGUAAGACAGAGGGCUCAAACGUUGUUCGGAAUCACUGGGCAUAAAGGGCGCGUAGGCGGCUCGUUAAGUCGGUUGUGAAAUCCCCCGGCUCAACCGGGGAACGGCAUUCGAUACUGGCGGGCUCGAGGACGGGAGGGGUAAGUGGAACUCCAGGUGGAACGGUGAAAUGUGUAGAUAUCUGGAGGAACACCGGUGGCGAAAGCGGCUUACUGGCCCGUAUCUGACGCUGAUGCGCGAAAGCUAGGGGAGCAAACGGGAUUAGAAACCCCCGUAGUCC
RNAcentral lists this ribosomal RNA (292 nucleotides) under uncultured bacterium. RNAcentral describes it as "partial 16S ribosomal RNA". It matches the Rfam family "Bacterial small subunit ribosomal RNA", at positions 505 to 796 of the family's 1533-position model. The record is from RNAcentral.